CCAAAUCCAAAAUCAACCACUUGUGAACUUGUCUUGUAUUGUCUUUUGGGAAGUUUUGAUGUGAAAACAACAAUUCAUCCUUUAACAAGGAACUUCCCAUUAGGCGCGUGUGUAUUGUUUUGCAAAAAACAAUGCCACAAACCAAUAUGAACCACAUUUAAACUUUAUCCAUUUGGUUUUUUACACAAAAAACAAAAUGA
RNAcentral lists this unclassified non-coding RNA (200 nucleotides) under soil metagenome. RNAcentral describes it as "partial internal transcribed spacer 1". The record is from RNAcentral.